UUUCCGUAGGUGAACCUGCGGAAGGAUCAUUAACACGUAUCCACGUAUCAAAACCCCUCUGAGAAACCUCAUUCGAAAGGUCUGGUCUUAGUGUGUUGCUCGCAUGGGUCCUAACGAUGGUGGUUCGCAAGAACCAAGGGCUCGAGCAGCAUGUGUUUGACGAUCAACCGUUACUUUCCCAUUGUUGGCCUUUUUAACCCAUUUUUUAACCCCUUUGUACUCUUUUGUACUGAACCAAUUUUUUCGACGCUCUCCUCUGGAGAUGUGACGAAAGAUAUUACGAAACUAAAGAACAACUCUUAGCAACGGAUAUCUUGGUUCCC
RNAcentral lists this unclassified non-coding RNA (323 nucleotides) under soil metagenome. Its description in RNAcentral is "partial contains small subunit ribosomal RNA, internal transcribed spacer 1, and 5.8S ribosomal RNA". The record is from RNAcentral.